Molecule: ribosomal RNA, 495 nt
Filed under: uncultured bacterium
Lineage: Bacteria
Description: partial 16S ribosomal RNA
Rfam family: Bacterial small subunit ribosomal RNA
Source: RNAcentral
GACGAACGCUGGCGGCGUGCCUAAUACAUGCAAGUAGAACGCUGAAGGAGGAGCUUGCCUCUCUGGAUGAGUUGCGAACGGGUGAGUAACGCGUAGGUAACCUGCCUGGUAGCGGGGGAUAACUAUUGGAAACGAUAGCUAAUACCGCAUAAUAGUAGAUGUUGCAUGACAUUUGCUUAAAAGGUGCAAUUGCAUCACUACCAGAUGGACCUGCGUUGUAUUAGCUAGUUGGUGGGGUAACGGCUCACCAAGGCGACGAUACAUAGCCGACCUGAGAGGGUGAUCGGCCACACUGGGACUGAGACACGGCCCAGACUCCUACGGGAGGCAGCAGUAGGGAAUCUUCGGCAAUGGACGGAAGUCUGACCGAGCAACGCCGCGUGAGUGAAGAAGGUUUUCGGAUCGUAAAGCUCUGUUGUAAGAGAAGAACGAGUGUGAGAGUGGAAAGUUCACACUGUGACGGUAUCUUACCAGAAAGGGACGGCUAACUACGUG